Jatropha curcas is the source of this 547-nucleotide long non-coding RNA. RefSeq lists it as uncharacterized. NCBI's taxonomy places the organism in Eukaryota, Viridiplantae, Streptophyta, Magnoliopsida, Malpighiales, Euphorbiaceae. The record is from RefSeq and is a predicted model, not a curated record.
AGAGAGAGAAAAAAAUCUCAUCUCCUUCCCCUCUCUCGAUGCCGACAGCUCUCCCUUCCCCUUUGCUCUUCGCUCUUCGCUCUUUGGCCAUCGGCCACCUAAUUUUGCGAGUAAAUACUCUAAAGCCAUGUACUCACUGCAAGGUGUUUCAUUCAAGCCUUGGUUUGCGCGAUUUGAGCCCAAAUCGAGGGAAAACUCGACUUAAAUGAUUCGACACCGUCGCAGCAUCAAUUUUUCGGCCAUUCACGUUGUUUUCGACGACUUGAGGCUUCAAGUUGGAUUUUCCGACCACCGCGCAUGGUGGCCAGUGGCGACAGUUUGGUGACCGGCCGGCGACGCUCCGAUAAGGCUCCAAAGGUAAUAGGAGGAAAGAAGAACCCUAUGGGUCCAACCGAGUUGAAAUAUAAAUAUGGAAAAUUAUUAAUAAUUAUUUUAAGCAUGUAAAUGUAAAGGACUGUAAAUUAUGGAGUUCCGCAAUUGUAUUCCAAAUGGAUUAUAAUUGAAUAAUAUGGAUAUAUGUAUUAAUUAUAUGAAUUGUAUUUUGAUA